GACGGAGGGCGCAAGCGUUGUUCGGAAUUACUGGGCGUAAAGGGCGGGCAGGUGGUCUGUUAAGACGUUUGUGAAAAUCCGGGGCUCAACCCCGCGAAAUGCAGACGAUACUGGCAGACUAGAGAUCGGUAGAGGCUAGCGGAAUUCCUGGUGUAGCGGUGGAAUGCGUAGAUAUCAGGAAGAACGCCUGUGGCGAAGGCGGCUAGCUGGGCCGAGUCUGACACUCAUCCGCGAAAGCGUGGGGAGCAAACAGG
RNAcentral lists this unclassified non-coding RNA (254 nucleotides) under uncultured Gemmatimonadota bacterium. RNAcentral's name for it is "uncultured Gemmatimonadetes bacterium contains 16S-23S intergenic spacer region". It matches the Rfam family "Bacterial small subunit ribosomal RNA", at positions 524 to 776 of the family's 1533-position model. The record is from RNAcentral. Lineage: Bacteria; Pseudomonadati; Gemmatimonadota.